CAGUCGCCACGGUAAUACGAAGGGUGCAAGCGUUACUCGGAAUUACUGGGCGUAAAGCGUGCGUAGGCGGUUUGUUAAGUCUGUUGUGAAAUCCCCGGGCUCAACCUGGGAAUGGCAAUGGAUACUGGCAAGCUAGAGUGUGUCAGAGGAUGGUGGAAUUCCCGGUGUAGCGGUGAAAUGCGUAGAGAUCGGGAGGAACAUCAGUGGCGAAGGCGGCCAUCUGGGACAACACUGACGCUGAGGCACGAAAGCGUGGGGAGCAAACAGGAUUAGAUACCCGUGUAGUCCCUGUCUCUUAUAC
RNAcentral lists this ribosomal RNA (301 nucleotides) under uncultured bacterium. RNAcentral describes it as "partial 16S ribosomal RNA". It matches the Rfam family "Bacterial small subunit ribosomal RNA", at positions 509 to 807 of the family's 1533-position model. The record is from RNAcentral.